RNAcentral lists this non-coding RNA (776 nucleotides) under Staphylinidae sp. BMNH 1274173. The record is from RNAcentral. Lineage: Eukaryota; Metazoa; Arthropoda; Insecta; Coleoptera; Staphylinidae.
AAAAAGUUUAAUUCUAGCUUAGAAAAUUAGUGUUUAAUUUAUUUAUAUGUAAGUUUUAGCGUUAUUAAUUAUUAUUUUAGAAAAAUAGUAGGUUUAAUUAUAUUUUCAGUAUUUAAAUUUAAAUAUUAUAGAAAUAUAUAUUUAGAAAUUUAGAAUAAUUUUAACAAAAUUUGUGCCAGCAGUUGCGGUUACACAAAUAAAUUAAUUGAUUUUUUAUUGAUUUAUAAUUAAAUGAUAUAAAAUUAAUAUAUUUAUAAAUUUAUUAAGUGAAAUUUUAAAUUUUUAGUAAUUUUUAUUUUAUAUAUUGAAGUUGUUAAAUUUUAUAAAAAACUAGGAUUAGAUACCCUAUUAUUAAAAUGUAAAUUUUUAAAUUUAAUUAUUAAAAGUUAUAGUCUUAAAAGUUAAAGAUUAUGGCGGUAUUUUAGUCUUUUCAGAGGAACCUGUCCUGUAAUUGAUAUUCCACGAUUAGAAUUACUUAUUUUAAAAAUUUAUAUAUCGUUGUAAUUGAAAAUUUUUUAAGAAAUUUAAUUUUCAUAAUUUUUAAUAAAAAUAUAAAUCAGAUCAAGGUGUAGUUUAUAGAUAAGAAGAGAUGGGUUACAUUAAUAAUAUUUUUUGAUUUUUUUUUUAAAAAAUUAAUGAAAUUGGAUUUGAAAGUAAUUUAAUUAAUUUAGGUUAAAUGAUUUGAGCUCUAGGAUAUGCACAUAUCGCCCGUCGCUCUCAUUUAAAGUGAGAUAAGUCGUAACAAAGUAAAUGUACUGGAAAGUGUAUUUUGAUUU